RNAcentral lists this ribosomal RNA (503 nucleotides) under Lasiodiplodia pseudotheobromae. Its description in RNAcentral is "partial large subunit ribosomal RNA". It matches the Rfam family "Eukaryotic large subunit ribosomal RNA", at positions 100 to 606 of the family's 3401-position model. The record is from RNAcentral. Lineage: Eukaryota; Fungi; Ascomycota; Dothideomycetes; Botryosphaeriales; Botryosphaeriaceae.
GGCAACAGCUCAAAUUUGAAAGCUGGCCCUUUUAGGGUCCGCGUUGUAAUUUGUAGAGGAUGAUUCGGCGAGGGCUCCUGCCUAAGUCCCCUGGAACGGGGCGUCAUAGAGGGUGAGAAUCCCGUAUGCGGUAGGUUGCCUUAGCCAUGUGAAUCUCCUUCGACGAGUCGAGUUGUUUGGGAAUGCAGCUCUAAAUGGGAGGUAAAUUUCUUCUAAAGCUAAAUACUGGCCAGAGACCGAUAGCGCACAAGUAGAGUGAUCGAAAGAUGAAAAGCACUUUGGAAAGAGAGUUAAAAAGUACGUGAAAUUGUUGAAAGGGAAGCGCUUGCAACCAGACUUGUCCGCAGUUGCUCAGCCGGUCUCCUGACCGGCGUACUCUUCUGCGGCCAGGCCAGCAUCAGUUCGGGCGGUCGGAUAAAGGCCUCGGGAAUGUAGCUCCUCUCGGGGAGUGUUAUAGCCCGGGGUGGAAUGCGACCAGCCUGGACUGAGGAUCUCGCUUCGGC